GGAAGGGUGGCCGAGUGGUUUAAGGCAGCGGUCUUGAAAACCGCCGUGGGGGAAACUCCACCGUGGGUUCGAAUCCCACCCCUUCCGCCA
RNAcentral lists this transfer RNA (90 nucleotides) under Methylocystis heyeri. RNAcentral's name for it is "tRNA-Ser". It matches the Rfam family "tRNA". From Rfam's summary of the family: Transfer RNA (tRNA) molecules are approximately 80 nucleotides in length. Their secondary structure includes four short double-helical elements and three loops (D, anti-codon, and T loops). The record is from RNAcentral. Lineage: Bacteria; Pseudomonadati; Pseudomonadota; Alphaproteobacteria; Hyphomicrobiales; Methylocystaceae. RNAcentral also lists the same sequence under 4 other names.